RNAcentral lists this ribosomal RNA (316 nucleotides) under uncultured bacterium. RNAcentral describes it as "bacterial SSU rRNA". It matches the Rfam family "Bacterial small subunit ribosomal RNA", at positions 28 to 334 of the family's 1533-position model. The record is from RNAcentral.
GACGAACGCUGGCGGCGUGCCUAAUACAUGCAAGUAGAACGCUGAGGACUGGUGCUUGCACCGGUUCAAGGAGUUGCGAACGGGUGAGUAACGCGUAGGUAACCUACCUCAUAGCGGGGGAUAACUAUUGGAAACGAUAGCUAAUACCGCAUGACAAUGGAGGACCCAUGUCUUUCAUUUAAAAGGUGCAACUGCAUCACUAUGAGAUGGACCUGCGUUGUAUUAGCUAGUUGGCGGGGUAACGGCCCACCAAGGCGACGAUCAGUAGCCGGACUGAGAGGUUGAACGGCCACAUUGGGACUGAGACACGGCCCAG